RNAcentral lists this long non-coding RNA (252 nucleotides) under Nicotiana benthamiana. RNAcentral describes it as "long non-coding RNA (NBEN_LNC006079)". Lineage: Eukaryota; Viridiplantae; Streptophyta; Magnoliopsida; Solanales; Solanaceae. The record is from RNAcentral.
UUAUUCUCCAUUAAUUUGAACUUCAUUCCCUUGAUCUUUAAAUAUAAUUAUUCCUUAAAUGUGGUAGAGAAAAUAAUAGGGUAAUGGACUUAGAGUAAAUGAAAUGGUAUACAUUAGGGAAAAUGAUAUUGUAUAUCCGCUUUCAAAAUAGUAGCGGAAUAUAUAUACAUUCUGUAUGUUAUAUUAAUCUACACAACUAGGUAAUUAUUCAUUUUAUAAGUGUCUACAGUGAUAGGGGUGUGCAUUCGACUU